RNAcentral lists this ribosomal RNA (128 nucleotides) under Phycisphaerales bacterium. RNAcentral's name for it is "partial 16S ribosomal RNA". It matches the Rfam family "Bacterial small subunit ribosomal RNA", at positions 1402 to 1533 of the family's 1533-position model. The record is from RNAcentral. Lineage: Bacteria; Pseudomonadati; Planctomycetota; Phycisphaerae; Phycisphaerales.
UCAUGGAAGCUGGCAGCGCCCGAAGUCGCCACGAUUCAGUGGUGCCCACGGUGAGGCUGGUGACUGGGACUAAGUCGUAACAAGGUAGCCGUAGGGGAACCUGCGGCUGGAUCACCUCCUUUCUAAGG